UCACCCCACCCCAGUCCAAACAAACUUUAGAUAAUCUCUCACAUGGAUUUUCAUUUCUGCCCCCCACCAUCUCACCUGGCGGGGGGAGUGGGGGGCAUCCCUCAACCCGGCCCAGCCCAACCCCACAUCGACAGCCCAAGAGGACGAAGGAAAGGAAGGCAGCAGGUCCAGAUAGAAUCUGCUGCUGGACUGUGCAGAACAGCUUUGUCAGGUAAGAAGUCCAGAACGAAGGCUGCCAACAUCCAGAGACUGGUGACUCCUCGUGCGCUGCAGCACUCAAGAGACAGCACACCCAGAAGAACAAGGAGGAGGCCUCAGAGUACGCCAAGCUGCUGGCCAAGAGGAUGAAGACAGGAGGCCAAGGAGAAGUGCCAGGAACAGAUCGCCAAGAGGCGCCGCCUUCAUUCUAUGAGGGCGUCCACAUCCAAGUCAGAGUCCAGCCAGAAGUGAAACAGAAUCAAAUAAAGUCAUGUUUUGCUGAAACAG
Long non-coding RNA from Oreochromis niloticus (Nile tilapia), 486 nucleotides. RefSeq lists it as uncharacterized. The transcript is spliced from 3 exons. The record is from RefSeq and is a predicted model, not a curated record. NCBI's taxonomy places the organism in Eukaryota, Metazoa, Chordata, Actinopteri, Cichliformes, Cichlidae.